RNAcentral lists this ribosomal RNA (490 nucleotides) under uncultured bacterium. Its description in RNAcentral is "partial 16S ribosomal RNA". It matches the Rfam family "Bacterial small subunit ribosomal RNA", at positions 30 to 507 of the family's 1533-position model. The record is from RNAcentral.
AUUGAACGCUGGCGGCAGGCCUAACACAUGCAAGUCGAACGGUAACAGGAAGAAGCUUGCUUCUUUGCUGACGAGUGGCGGACGGGUGAGUAAUGUCUGGGAAACUGCCUGAUGGAGGGGGAUAACUACUGGAAACGGUAGCUAAUACCGCAUAACGUCGCAAGACCAAAGAGGGGGACCUUCGGGCCUCUUGCCAUCGGAUGUGCCCAGAUGGGAUUAGCUAGUAGGUGGGGUAACGGCUCACCUAGGCGGCGAUCCCUAGCUGGUCUGAGAGGAUGACCAGCCACACUGGAACUGAGACACGGUCCAGACUCCUACGGGAGGCAGCAGUGGGGAAUAUUGCACAAUGGGCGCAAGCCUGAUGCAGCCAUGCCGCGUGUAUGAAGAAGGCCUUCGGGUUGUAAAGUACUUUCAGCGGGGAGGAAGGGAGUAAAGUUAAUACCUUUGCUCAUUGACGUUACCCGCAGAAGAAGCACCGGCUAACUCCGUG